RNAcentral lists this transfer RNA (82 nucleotides) under Daphnia pulicaria. RNAcentral's name for it is "tRNA-Leu". It matches the Rfam family "tRNA". From Rfam's summary of the family: Transfer RNA (tRNA) molecules are approximately 80 nucleotides in length. Their secondary structure includes four short double-helical elements and three loops (D, anti-codon, and T loops). The record is from RNAcentral. Lineage: Eukaryota; Metazoa; Arthropoda; Branchiopoda; Diplostraca; Daphniidae.
GGUAGCGUGGCCGAGCGGUCCAAGGGGCUGGUUUAAGGCACCAGUCUCUUCGGGGGCAUGGGUUCGAAUCCCAUCGCUGCCA